RNAcentral lists this ribosomal RNA (500 nucleotides) under uncultured proteobacterium clone MT8. Its description in RNAcentral is "bacterial SSU rRNA". It matches the Rfam family "Bacterial small subunit ribosomal RNA", at positions 28 to 574 of the family's 1533-position model. The record is from RNAcentral. Lineage: Bacteria; Pseudomonadati; Pseudomonadota.
AGCGAACGCUGGCGGCAGGCCUAAUACAUGCAAGUCGAGCGGUCCUUUCGGGGGCAGCGGCGGACGGGUGAGUAACGCGUGGGAACGUGCCCUUUGGUACGGAACAACUGAGGGAAACUUCAGCUAAUACCGUAUGUGCCCUUCGGGGGAAAGAUUUAUCGCCAUUGGAGCGGCCCGCGUUAGAUUAGCUAGUUGGUGGGGUAAAGGCCUACCAAGGCGACGAUCUAUAGCUGGUCUGAGAGGAUGAUCAACCACACUGGGACUGAGACACGGCCCAGACUCCUACGGGAGGCAGCAGUAGGGAAUCUUGCGCAAUGGGCGAAAGCCUGACGCAGCCAUGCCGCGUGAAUGAUGAAGGUCUUAGGAUUGUAAAAUUCUUUCACCGGGGACGAUAAUGACGGUACCCGGAGAAGAAGCCCCGGCUAACUUCGUGCCAGCAGCCGCGGUAAUACGAAGGGGGCUAGCGUUGCUCGGAAUUACUGGGCGUAAAGGGCGCGUAG